Molecule: ribosomal RNA, 440 nt
Filed under: uncultured bacterium
Lineage: Bacteria
Description: partial 16S ribosomal RNA
Rfam family: Bacterial small subunit ribosomal RNA
Source: RNAcentral
CCUACGGGUGGCAGCAGUGGGGAAUAUUGCACAAUGGGGGAAACCCUGAUGCAGCGACGCCGCGUGAGUGAAGAAGGAAUUCGGGAUGUAAAGCUCUAUUAGUAGGGAAGAAAAUGACGGUACUUGAGUAAGAAGCCCCGGCUAACUACGGGCCAGCAGCCGCGGUAAUACGUAGGGGGCAAGCGUUAUCCGGAUGUACUGGGUGUAAAGGGGGCGUAGGCGGCAGUGCAAGUUUGGAGGGAAAGGCGGGGGCUCAACCCCCGGACUGCUCGGGAAACUGGCCGGCUUGAGUGCGGGAGAGGUAAGUGGAAUUCCUGGUGUAGCGGUGAAAUGCGUAGAUAUUAGGAAGAACACCAGUGGCGAAGGCAGCUUACUGGACUGUAACUGACGUUGAGGCUCGAAAGCGUGGGGAGCGAACAGGAUUAGAUACCCCAGUAGUC